Rosa chinensis is the source of this 825-nucleotide long non-coding RNA. RefSeq lists it as uncharacterized. Lineage: Eukaryota; Viridiplantae; Streptophyta; Magnoliopsida; Rosales; Rosaceae. The record is from RefSeq and is a predicted model, not a curated record. The transcript has 3 exons.
GUGGAUUACUUUUUCACAUCAUAUAUUUACCUUUUUGUGUGAUUGUCCAAUACCAUUGUGUGAUUGCCCAGUACCUCUUCAAUUCAUCAAUCGUACUCAUGAUUCCACAGUCUGGUUCUGCAUAUUUUCGUUCUACAUUAAAAGGAAGAGCCAUUAUUGUUGAAUGUAAUGUGUCAUGCUAUGCAUUUGGUUUUGUGCUUGAUCCAAUGUCUUGUAUGCCGGGUGUUUCAGUGGUGCAGUACGUGAAGACUCUUAUUGUUGAAUUUAUAGAAAAUUAUAUUAACUGAAGGUCCUUAAAUCUUGCCAGUCAUGUGUCCAAGGCCUGUAGUGCAUGCUGAAGGCAAAGUAUUGUGUUAGUAAGGUUCCAAAUGUCACUGUUUCUUCCUCAUAUUUGAAACUAUCGUCUUGACAUUCUUGUUCAUGAAACCUAAAAUUAUGUUGAUCUUUUUGGGUUUUAUUUUUAUCAUAGUUUUUCUUGUCUUGGUGUUGCAGAGAGCAGAUCUCCCUCUGAAGAAUGGGACUUUGCUUCGGAGAGGCCUGCCCUUUUUGCAAGAUGGUUCCAUAAGCUAUGACUAAGACAGAUCUUUCCGCAGCUUUUUGAUCGCUCUGGUCCAUUCUAUGGAGAGCUAGGUAGGUUUGUCUUGAGGACAUUGGGAGUCAGAACAAAACCCAAGAUGGGACCUCCAGCAGGUCCCAAUGGGCUUCCAUUCUCUGGGCCCGGCGGUGCACCUGAGAACCGAAACUACGUUGAGGGACCAAAGGCCGCUCCUAGUGGUUCCUGGGAAAAUGUUUGGGGAAAUGAUACCAGUAAAUGAUGAGGUAAUA